RNAcentral lists this ribosomal RNA (492 nucleotides) under uncultured bacterium. RNAcentral describes it as "partial 16S ribosomal RNA". It matches the Rfam family "Bacterial small subunit ribosomal RNA", at positions 29 to 507 of the family's 1533-position model. The record is from RNAcentral.
AGUGAACGCUGGCGGUAGGCCUAACACAUGCAAGUCGAACGGCAGCACAGUAAGAGCUUGCUCUUACGGGUGGCGAGUGGCGGACGGGUGAGGAAUACAUCGGAAUCUACUUUUUCGUGGGUGAUAACGUAGGGAAACUUACGCUAAUACCGCAUACGACCUACGUUUGAAAUCAGGGGAUCUUCGGACCUUUCGCGAUUGAAUGAGCCGAUGUCGGAUUAGCUAGUUGGCGGGGUAAAGGCCCACCAAGGCGACGAUCCGUAGCUGGUCUGAGAGGAUGAUCAGCCACACUGGAACUGAGACACGGUACAGACUAGUACGGGAGGCAGCAGUGGGGAAUAUUAGACAAUGGGCGCAAGCCUGAUCCAGCCAUACCGCGUGGGUGAAGAAGGCAUUCGGGUUGUAAAGCCAUUUUGUUGGGAAAGAAAAGCAGCAGGUUAAUACCCCGCUGUUCUGACGGUACCCAAAGAAUAAGCACCGGCUAACUUCGUG